Molecule: long non-coding RNA, 572 nt
Filed under: Lupinus angustifolius (narrow-leaved blue lupine)
Lineage: Eukaryota; Viridiplantae; Streptophyta; Magnoliopsida; Fabales; Fabaceae
Description: long non-coding RNA (LANG_LNC003000)
Source: RNAcentral
UUAUGAGUUGUAAAAAAGUCAUUCUCUAUUACUUUUAUUAAUUUUUCUAUUUCGUUUCUUUUUAACUUUAUCUUCUACUCUUAGCAUAUAGCUUUCUUCUUCUACUGACCCUAUCCUUUUCAUUCAAACACAAACCCUAAUCUUCUUACUGUGAACCUUUUUCUCCCAUUGCAGCCAUUAUCGCCACCUUCAAUAGACUGAAUUUGUUUGAGAAACUGUUCAUCCAUGGCGAGAUCUGAAGCGGAGAAUUUUCCUAAUUUCUCUCUCUUCUUUUUGGAAGGUAAAAUAAAAUCCUAAAUUCUUAACGUGGUUAUAACAUUCUUCUUCUUCGAUGCAGGCUUCACGGAUUUGAACUAAUGUCGAGUUCGGUUCUUCGUCCUCGGCUUUCGUCAAGAUGAUAUUGCUCUCACCAACUUCGCCUUCUUUUCCCCCUCUGAUCUCUCUAACUUCACCGUCCCGAUUCCAACAAGCUCUACCUCGCUCUCGUCGGAGAAUGCUUCAUUACCUUCAGUUACUCCUCCCAAGGAUAACCAUUAUAUUUGUAACAUGGCUGUGCAAAAGUCUCUUAGAAG